GAGCCUGCGAUUCUCCUUAAACUAGAUUUCAAAAAAGCGUAUGACCGCGUCAAUUGGGACUUCCUUAGACAGGUCCUCUUGGAAAGAGGUUUCUCGCCCGUUUGGGUUCACCGCAUGCUGCAACUGGUCUCGGGGGGCCAGACGGCUAUCGCGGUUAACGGGGAAGUAGGCCCAUACUUCCGUAACAAAUGAGGGUUGCGUCAGGGUGACCCAGCUUCUCCGCUUCUAUUUAACUUUGUGGCUGAUGCCUUGGCUGCAAUGUUAGACAGGGAUCGUCUGGCUGGCCACCUCAGAGGGGUUGCUUCCUAG
RNAcentral lists this ribosomal RNA (309 nucleotides) under Triticum aestivum (bread wheat). RNAcentral's name for it is "partial small subunit ribosomal RNA". The record is from RNAcentral. Lineage: Eukaryota; Viridiplantae; Streptophyta; Magnoliopsida; Poales; Poaceae.